Molecule: long non-coding RNA, 1203 nt
Filed under: Marmota monax (woodchuck)
Lineage: Eukaryota; Metazoa; Chordata; Mammalia; Rodentia; Sciuridae
Source: RNAcentral
AUGAACCCUUUUUAGGCACCAGCCAAAGUAGAGGGGACUCGCCCCUCCAGGCGGGAGACUCCUCCCAACUGGAUGUUGGCAAAACUUGUAUUCCUCUGAAGCCAAGAGAGAGGGGACUUACACCUCCAGUCCGAAGACCCCUCCCACCUGUGUUUUGGAGGAGCUUGUAUACCGCCUUAGCUAGGGUGGAGGGGACUUGUCCCUCCAGGCAUGAGACCCUCUCAUCUGGGUAUUGAGGGGGGAUAUCAUGACCCCCACAGCCAGGAUAGCGGGGACUCGAGCCACUAGAAGGGAGACCCCUCACACAUGGUUGUCAGGAGAGCUCAUAUGCCACCCCAGACAGGGUAGAGGGGAUUUGCCACUACAGGAGGGAGACACCAUCCACCUGGGUGUACAGGGAACCUUGUGUACUGUCGCAGCCAGGGUAGAGGGGAUAGCCUCUCCAAGCCGGUUACCCCUCCCACCUGGGUGUCAGGAAGAGCUCAUAUACCACCACCGCCAGGAAAGUGGGGACUACAGGUCGGUAAACCCUCCCACCUGGGUGUUGGGGGGAGCUCGAAUAACACCGUAGUCAGGAUACAGGGGACUUGCCUCUACAGGUGGGAGACCCCUCCCACCUGGGUGUCAUGGGGAGCUCCUAUACUGCCACAGCCAGGGUAGAGGGGUUUGCCUGUUUAGGCAGGAGACCCUUCAACCUGGGUGUUCCUGCAGCACUUAUAGGGCACCAGCCAGGGUAGAGGGGACUCGCAACUCCAGCGGGAGACCCCUCUCACCUGAGUGUACGGGGGGCUUUCAUACCACCUUAGCAAAUGUAGAGGUGACUUGCCCCUCCAGGUGAAAGUCUCCUUCCACCUAGGCGUCUGGGAGAGCAUGUAUACAGCAGCAGCCAGGGUAGAGGGGACUCUCCCCUCCAACCAGGACACCCCUACCACCAGAAUGUCAUGGGAGCUCCUUUACUGCCACAGCCAGGGUAGAGUGGAUUAUCCCCUCCAAGCCGGAGACCUCUCCCACCUAGGUGUAGGGUGGGGAGUCUCUUAUACCUCCCAAGCCAGAGUAGAGGGGACUCGCCCCUCCAUGCGGGAGACCCCUCCAAGUUGGGUAUCUGGGGUAGCUCAUACAUCACCGAAUCCAAGGUAGAGGCGACUCGCCCCUCCAGGCGGGAGACCGCUCCCAACUGAUUGUGGAGGGGAGCUCAUAUACCAC